This 420-nucleotide ribosomal RNA is filed under the name Bacillota bacterium. RNAcentral's name for it is "Firmicutes bacterium partial 16S ribosomal RNA". It matches the Rfam family "Bacterial small subunit ribosomal RNA", at positions 355 to 776 of the family's 1533-position model. The record is from RNAcentral. Lineage: Bacteria; Bacillati; Bacillota.
UGGGGAAUAUUGGACAAUGGGCGGAAGCCUGAUCCAGCAACGCCGCGUGAGGGAUGACGGCCUUCGGGUUGUAAACCUCUUUCAGUACCGACGAAGUUCUGCUUUUGGUGGGGUGACGGUAGGUACAGAAGAAGCACCGGCCAACUACGUGCCAGCAGCCGCGGUAAUACGUAGGGUGCGAGCGUUGUCCGGAAUUAUUGGGCGUAAAGGGCUCGUAGGCGGUUUGUCGCGUCGGGAGUGAAAACAUCCAGCUUAACUGGGUGCUUGCUUUCGAUACGGGCAGACUUGAGGUAUGCAGGGGAGAAUGGAAUUCCUGGUGUAGCGGUGAAAUGCGCAGAUAUCAGGAGGAACACCGGUGGCGAAGGCGGUUCUCUGGGCAUUACCUGACGCUGAGGAGCGAAAGUGUGGGGAGCGAACAGG